RNAcentral lists this ribosomal RNA (253 nucleotides) under uncultured bacterium. Its description in RNAcentral is "partial 16S ribosomal RNA". It matches the Rfam family "Bacterial small subunit ribosomal RNA", at positions 524 to 776 of the family's 1533-position model. The record is from RNAcentral.
UACGUAGGGGGCAAGCGUUGUCCGGAUUUAUUGGGCGUAAAGAGCGUGUAGGCGGCUUUACAGGUCCGUUGUGAAAACUCGAGGCUCAACCUCGAGACGCCGGUGGAAACCGUAAGGCUAGAGUCCGGAAGAGGAGAGUGGAAUUCAUGGUGUAGCAGUGAAAUGCGUAGAGAUCAUGAGGAAGACCAGUGGCGAAGGCGGGUCUCUGGACAGUUCCUGACACUGAGGCACGAAGGCCAGGGGAGCAAACGGG